Molecule: ribosomal RNA, 1032 nt
Filed under: Salmonella enterica subsp. enterica serovar Panama
Lineage: Bacteria; Pseudomonadati; Pseudomonadota; Gammaproteobacteria; Enterobacterales; Enterobacteriaceae
Description: bacterial SSU rRNA
Rfam family: Bacterial small subunit ribosomal RNA
Source: RNAcentral
GUAAUGUCUGGGAAACUGCCUGAUGGAGGGGGAUAACUACUGGAAACGGUGGCUAAUACCGCAUAACGUCGCAAGACCAAAGAGGGGGACCUUCGGGCCUCUUGCCAUCAGAUGUGCCCAGAUGGGAUUAGCUUGUUGGUGAGGUAACGGCUCACCAAGGCGACGAUCCCUAGCUGGUCUGAGAGGAUGACCAGCCACACUGGAACUGAGACACGGUCCAGACUCCUACGGGAGGCAGCAGUGGGGAAUAUUGCACAAUGGGCGCAAGCCUGAUGCAGCCAUGCCGCGUGUAUGAAGAAGGCCUUCGGGUUGUAAAGUACUUUCAGCGGGGAGGAAGGUGUUGUGGUUAAUAACCGCAGCAAUUGACGUUACCCGCAGAAGAAGCACCGGCUAACUCCGUGCCAGCAGCCGCGGUAAUACGGAGGGUGCAAGCGUUAAUCGGAAUUACUGGGCGUAAAGCGCACGCAGGCGGUCUGUCAAGUCGGAUGUGAAAUCCCCGGGCUCAACCUGGGAACUGCAUUCGAAACUGGCAGGCUUGAGUCUUGUAGAGGGGGGUAGAAUUCCAGGUGUAGCGGUGAAAUGCGUAGAGAUCUGGAGGAAUACCGGUGGCGAAGGCGGCCCCCUGGACAAAGACUGACGCUCAGGUGCGAAAGCGUGGGGAGCAAACAGGAUUAGAUACCCUGGUAGUCCACGCCGUAAACGAUGUCUACUUGGAGGUUGUGCCCUUGAGGCGUGGCUUCCGGAGCUAACGCGUUAAGUAGACCGCCUGGGGAGUACGGCCGCAAGGUUAAAACUCAAAUGAAUUGACGGGGGCCCGCACAAGCGGUGGAGCAUGUGGUUUAAUUCGAUGCAACGCGAAGAACCUUACCUGGUCUUGACAUCCACGGAAGAAUUCAGAGAUGGAUUUGUGCCUUCGGGAACCGUGAGACAGGUGCUGCAUGGCUGUCGUCAGCUCGUGUUGUGAAAUGUUGGGUUAAGUCCCGCAACGAGCGCAACCCUUAUCCUUUGUUGCCAGCGGUCCGGCCGGGAACU